UCAAACUUGGUCAUUUAGAGGAAGUAAAAGUCGUAACAAGGUUUCCGUAGGUGAACCUGCGGAAGGAUCAUUAUUGAAUUUAAUGAAGAGUUGGUUGUAGCUGGCCCCCCUUCCCCCUAUGAGGUUUGGGCAAUGUGCACACCUUCUCUCUCAUCCAUACACACCUGUGCACUUGUGAGAUGGCUGGGGAAUUUAUUUAUUAAUUUUCUUCAGAGAAGAGAUAAAUUAUUGACCCCUCUGUCUACUCAAUUCAUAUAAACUCAAUUAAUUUUAAAAUGAAUGUACUGGAUGUAACACAUCUAAUACUAAGUUUCAACAACGGAUCUCUUGGCUCUCGCAUCGAUGAAGAACGCAGC
This 356-nucleotide unclassified non-coding RNA is filed under the name uncultured fungus. RNAcentral's name for it is "partial contains small subunit ribosomal RNA, internal transcribed spacer 1, and 5.8S ribosomal RNA". The stretch from base 1 to 73 matches the Rfam family "Eukaryotic small subunit ribosomal RNA", at positions 1759 to 1831 of the family's 1831-position model. The record is from RNAcentral. Lineage: Eukaryota; Fungi.